Molecule: ribosomal RNA, 322 nt
Filed under: uncultured Glissomonadida
Lineage: Eukaryota; Cercozoa; Glissomonadida
Description: SSU rRNA
Rfam family: Eukaryotic small subunit ribosomal RNA (bases 106-322)
Source: RNAcentral
GAUUUCUGGCUUGGUGCGCCUGGCCCGCCACCGUUAGGUGUGUGAGUGCUGGGUCGCGCCUGCCAUCCUUCUAGAGAACGUCUCUACUCUUCAUUGAGCCGGAGGCGCAAUCUAGAUCUUUUACUUUGAAAAAAUUAGAGUGUUUAAAGCAGGCUUUUGCUAUGAAUACAUUAGCAUGGAAUAAUAAUUUAGGACUUCGGUUCUAUUUUGUUGGUUUCUAGGACUGAAGUAAUGAUUGAUAGGGAUAGUUGGGGGUGCUAGUAUUCAGCGGCCAGAGGUGAAAUUCUCGGAUUCGCUGAAGACUAACUUAUGCGAAAGCAUU